GACGAACGUUGGCGGCGUGCUUAAUACAUGCAAGUCAACUGAAGCAGUGGUAGCAAUAUCGCUGUGGAGGUGGCGCACGGGUGAGUAACACGUAGGUAAUCUGCCUUCAGGUCUGGCAUAACUCCGGGAAACCGGGGCUAAUAGCAGAUGAUGCAGCGGCUCGACAUCGAGACAGUUGUUAAAGCUAUGGCGCCUGAAGAUGAGCCUGCGUCUGAUUAGCUAGUUGGCGGGGUAACGGCCCACCAAGGCAACGAUCAGUAGCUGGUCUGAGAGGAUGAUCAGCCACACUGGAACUGAGACACGGUCCAGACUCCUACGGGAGGCAGCAGUAAGGAAUAUUGCUCAAUGGGAGAAAUCCUGAAGCAGCAACGCCGCGUGAGGGACGAAGGGCAUUUGCUUGUAAACCUCUGUAGUGAGAGAAAAAAAUCCCAAUCUUUGGGACAUGAUGGUAUCUCAAAAGUAAGCCCCGGCUAACUACGUG
Molecule: ribosomal RNA, 481 nt
Filed under: uncultured bacterium
Lineage: Bacteria
Description: partial 16S ribosomal RNA
Rfam family: Bacterial small subunit ribosomal RNA
Source: RNAcentral